ACCUUUUCUGAGGCUCAUAGAUAUUCCAAUUCCCGUGAAAACCAUGUCGGACUCCACGAGGACUUUGGUUAAGCAGCAAAUGGCUUGCAGCCUUUUUUUUUCUUUUGAAAAAAAAAAGAAAGUAAAAAAUAAAAUUUAGGAAAAAACAAAAAAAAGGCGUGAACUAUUCCAUUUGUCGUCGUCGCAGCUUGCCGCAUCGUCCCCCACCCCACCCUAGAGAGUCGACGGCCAUGGCUGCCCGUCUCCUGAGCCGAUCCAAAACCCUAAGCGUAGCUCGCCUCUUUCACCCCUCCUCCUCCCUCAUUGACACCGGCACUCCCUCAUCCUUCUCCCAAUGCCUCCGGGUUCCCCCGCCGUUCAUCCGCCCGCUAUGCGAUUCCAGAUCCACUGUACCCGUGCUCGAUUCGGCCGGCGCUAUACCGCGCAACGCCCUCGUUGACUGCAGAAAGGUUCUCCUUUUCCUUUGUACUCCUCCUCCUCCUGUAUGGGCUCCGGACUUGGUGGUACUUGAUCUGCUAUGUGCUUUGGUGGUUCUGUUUAUUUCCUGAUGUAAAAGUUGCAAAGUUUAGGAUUUGAAAAGUGGAAAGGAGAGAGGAGAAACAUUGGCAGGGGAAAAAAGGACUCGCUGAAUAGAAUCUGGCAAUUUUAAUUGGCUGAUGAUUCUGCUUAGGAAAAGAAGGAGAAAGUAGUCUUGGAAGCAUCGGUUAUGAUGAUCUUUCUACAAUCUUGAUAACUUGCUGGACAAGAAUCUGCUGAUUCCAUGUUAACGAAUCUUUUCACUGUUUUGAAAAAUAAAUUAUCAUUCCGCAUCAAUGCUUCGGUAUAUGAAUGCGUAAACCAAAAAUAUAUAUUUUUACGAUCAGCGAAGUGUGAGCUGUUAUUUUAUCAAGUAUCAUUGUUUCAGUUGUUGUCGUUGCUGAUAUCAUUACCACUAUUAUCAUCAUUAUAAUUAUUAUAAUGAAAAUUAUCAUUGUAUUUUUUGUUGUUAUUCUCAUUAUCAUUAUCAUUAUUAUCAUUAUUUCUAUGGUGGUCAAUAAUGGUUUCCCUGGAGGGUUGUUAUAAUGGGAUAAUGGAAUUCUUGAUACCUUGGCCGAAUGCUUAAAUAGAUCCCUGACAAGCUGUACGAGAAUCUUAGUCAUUUUGACAUGCCUCCUGGCAGUUGGAUGGGCCUUUUAUAUUCUCGCAAACCUUGUAGGCAUUCUCUCAUAUGCACUUGGAUAAACACUUUUGACAUAUUACAAGCAUCCCAGACACAUGCAUAACUUCAAUUAUUAGUUGUAAAAACCUGUAAGGCAGUUGUACAUGACUAAUUUAGUACCAGUUAUCUCUUAGUCAUAUUGUAAAACAGGUUUGCUUGCUGUUUGUUAAUGUAUUCAUGGCUUUUAUUGCCAAAAGAAAAAUAAAGUUCUUAUGAGUUGAUCUUCUGAUCAGAUGUUGCUAUACAUCAAAUGCUUCACAUGUUGUACUGAAUUUCUUGAUUUGCCUUUAAUUGUUGACAUUGUCUACCGGGUUUCUUUAAAAGCAUGUGUUUGCUGUCCUAAUUCCUUGCAAGCCUUCAUUUGUUGUCCUGCAGUCUUAUGAUAUUGAGUUUACUCUCCUGUUGUUCUUUGGUGUCUAGUUUUUCUUAUAGAGACCUGGAUCAUUACUAUGUGGCUGAUUUGCUUUAAGUUCUACAAUCAAGCCACUUGGCAUUCUAGAGCUAGAGAAUUGUCUUUUCUACAUACUUUGUGUGUAUAUGAAUAAUUUUAAUUUCUGACUUCUUGAGUUGUUCUAAUGGCUUUCAGAGAUGGCUUAAACCUGAGCUUGAGUCUGGUCUGGGACAGCUGGCAUGUUUUGUAUGGGCAACUAGAAACAAUGUGCUGUUUGUAAAGGCAUAUUGAUCAAAUUACUUGGAUGGUGGUUGUGUCAAGAUCAAUGCACCACCAAAAUGAAUGAUGGUUUUUACGAGUUAAGAAAAUGUUAGAUUUUAGAAGAAUAUCCAACUGAGUAUGCUUCUUCUUCUUCUUCUCCUCGUCCUCCUCUUCCUCCUCUCUCUCUCUCUCUCUCUCUCUCUCUCUCUCCCACACACACACACAC
RNAcentral lists this long non-coding RNA (2076 nucleotides) under Elaeis guineensis (African oil palm). RNAcentral describes it as "long non-coding RNA (EGUI_LNC048561)". Lineage: Eukaryota; Viridiplantae; Streptophyta; Magnoliopsida; Arecales; Arecaceae. The record is from RNAcentral.